RNAcentral lists this ribosomal RNA (448 nucleotides) under uncultured bacterium. RNAcentral describes it as "partial 16S ribosomal RNA". It matches the Rfam family "Bacterial small subunit ribosomal RNA", at positions 354 to 796 of the family's 1533-position model. The record is from RNAcentral.
GUGGGGAAUAUUGGACAAUGGGCGAAAGCCUGAUCCAGCCAUGCCGCGUGUGAAGAAGGUCUUCGGAUUGUAAAGCACUUUAAGUUGGGAGGAAGGGCAGUAAGUUAAUACCUUGCUGUUUUGACGUUACCGACAGAAUAAGCACCGGCUAACUUCGUGCCAGCAGCCGCGGUAAUACGAAGGGUGCAAGCGUUAAUCGGAAUUACUGGGCGUAAAGCGCGCGUAGGUGGUUUUGUAAGUUGGAGGUGAAAUCCCCGGGCUCAACCUGGGAACUGCCUCCAAAACUGCAUGACUAGAGUACGGUAGAGGGUAGUGGAAUUUCCUGUGUAGCGGUGAAAUGCGUAGAUAUAGGAAGGAACACCAGUGGCGAAGGCGACUACCUGGACUGAUACUGACACUGAGGUGCGAAAGCGUGGGGAGCAAACAGGAUUAGAAACCCUGGUAGUCC